This 301-nucleotide ribosomal RNA is filed under the name uncultured bacterium. Its description in RNAcentral is "partial 16S ribosomal RNA". It matches the Rfam family "Bacterial small subunit ribosomal RNA", at positions 509 to 807 of the family's 1533-position model. The record is from RNAcentral.
CAGCCGCCGCGGUAAUACGAAGGGUGCAAGCGUUAAUCGGAAUUACUGGGCGUAAAGCGUGCGUAGGCGGUUUGUUAAGUCUGUUGUGAAAUCCCCGGGCUCAACCUGGGAAUGGCAAUGGAUACUGGCAAGCUAGAGUGUGACAGAGGGGGGUGGAAUUCCGCGUGUAGCAGUGAAAUGCGUAGAUAUGCGGAGGAACACCGAUGGCGAAGGCAGCCCCCUGGGCCAACACUGACGCUCAUGCACGAAAGCGUGGGGAGCAAACAGGAUUAGAUACCCGAGUAGUCCCUGUCUCUUAUAC